RNAcentral lists this ribosomal RNA (299 nucleotides) under uncultured soil bacterium. RNAcentral describes it as "partial 16S ribosomal RNA". It matches the Rfam family "Bacterial small subunit ribosomal RNA", at positions 26 to 321 of the family's 1533-position model. The record is from RNAcentral.
AGAGUGAACGCUGGCGGCAGGCCUAACACAUGCAAGUCGAACGGCAGCACAGCCGGAGCAAUCCGGUGGGUGGCGAGUGGCGGACGGGUGAGGAAUACAUCGGAAUCUACCUUGUCGUGGGGGAUAACGUAGGGAAACUUACGCUAAUACCGCAUACGAACUAUGGUUGAAAGCGGCGGACCGCAAGGCGUCGCGCGAUUGGAUGAGCCGAUGUCCGAUUAGCUAGGUUGGCGGGGUAAAGCCCACGAAGGCGACGAUCGGUAGCUGGUCUGAGAGGAUGAUCAGCCACACUGGAACUG